UACGGAGGAUGCAAGCGUUAUCCGGAAUGAUUGGGCGUAAAGGGUCCGCAGGUGGCUGUGUAAGUCUGCUGUUAAAGAGUCAUGCUCAACAUGAUUAAGGCAGUGGAAACUACAAGGCUAGAGUGCGUUCGGGGCAGAGGGAAUUCCUGGUGUAGCGGUGAAAUGCGUAGAUAUCAGGAAGAACACCGGUGGCGAAAGCGCUCUGCUAGGCCGCAACUGACACUGAGGGACGAAAGCUAGGGGAGCGAAUGGG
This 253-nucleotide ribosomal RNA is filed under the name uncultured bacterium. Its description in RNAcentral is "partial 16S ribosomal RNA". It matches the Rfam family "Bacterial small subunit ribosomal RNA", at positions 524 to 776 of the family's 1533-position model. The record is from RNAcentral.